RNAcentral lists this ribosomal RNA (497 nucleotides) under uncultured bacterium. RNAcentral describes it as "partial 16S ribosomal RNA". It matches the Rfam family "Bacterial small subunit ribosomal RNA", at positions 28 to 507 of the family's 1533-position model. The record is from RNAcentral.
GAUGAACGCUGGCGGCGUGCCUAAUACAUGCAAGUCGAGCGAACAGAUGAGGAGCUUGCUCCUCUGACAUUAGCGGCGGACGGGUGAGUAACACGUGGAUAACCUACCUAUAAGACUGGGAUAACUUCGGGAAACCGGAGCUAAUACCGGAUAAUAUAUUGAACCGCAUGGUUCAAUAGUGAAAGACGGUUUUGCUGUCACUUAUAGAUGGAUCCGCGCCGCAUUAGCUAGUUGGUAAGGUAACGGCUUACCAAGGCAACGAUGCGUAGCCGACCUGAGAGGGUGAUCGGCCACACUGGAACUGAGACACGGUCCAGACUCCUACGGGAGGCAGCAGUAGGGAAUCUUCCGCAAUGGGCGAAAGCCUGACGGAGCAACGCCGCGUGAGUGAUGAAGGUCUUCGGAUCGUAAAACUCUGUUAUUAGGGAAGAACAAAUGUGUAAGUAACUAUGCACGUCUUGACGGUACCUAAUCAGAAAGCCACGGCUAACUACGUG